This 157-nucleotide non-coding RNA is filed under the name Gammaproteobacteria bacterium. RNAcentral describes it as "FMN sequence". It matches the Rfam family "FMN riboswitch aptamer (RFN element)". Rfam says of the family: The RFN element is a highly conserved domain that is found frequently in the 5'-untranslated regions of prokaryotic mRNAs that encode for flavin mononucleotide (FMN) biosynthesis and transport proteins. Lineage: Bacteria; Pseudomonadati; Pseudomonadota; Gammaproteobacteria. The record is from RNAcentral.
UCAGAUCUUCAGGGCAGGGUGCAACUCCCUACCGGCGGUAAACUUAUUAGGUGUCCCCUGUAAGCAAGCCCGCGAGCGCUUUUUUUCAAUAAAAAGGUCAGCAGACUUGGUGUGAUUCCAAGGCCGACGGUUAUAGUCCGGAUAAAAGAAGAGUAUC